GAUGUCAGGAUACAGUGGCACAUGCCUGUAGUCCCAGCUACUCAGGAAUCUGAGGCAAGAGGUUCGCUUGAGCCCAGGAGUUCUGGGAUGUGGUGCAUUAUCCCAAUUAGGUGUCCACAUGAAGUUUGGCAUCAAUAUGAUCUCCCAGGAGGGGGGUACCACCAACUUGCUUAAGGAGGAGUGUGAACUGGCCCAGGUUGUCAGCGGAGCAGGUCAAAACUCCUGUGCUGAUCAGUAGUGGGAUUGUGCCUGUGAAUAGCCACUGUGCUCCAGCCUGGGCAACAGGGUGAGACCCCUACCUGU
Molecule: unclassified non-coding RNA, 303 nt
Organism: Chlorocebus sabaeus (green monkey)
Lineage: Eukaryota; Metazoa; Chordata; Mammalia; Primates; Cercopithecidae
Rfam family: Metazoan signal recognition particle RNA
About the family: The signal recognition particle (SRP) is a universally conserved ribonucleoprotein. It is involved in the co-translational targeting of proteins to membranes. The eukaryotic SRP consists of a 300-nucleotide 7S RNA and six proteins: SRPs 72, 68, 54, 19, 14, and 9.
Source: Ensembl